RNAcentral lists this small RNA (106 nucleotides) under Marmota monax (woodchuck). The record is from RNAcentral. Lineage: Eukaryota; Metazoa; Chordata; Mammalia; Rodentia; Sciuridae.
GCUGGGCCCGGUGGCGCACGCCUGUAAUCUCAGCUGCUCGGGAGGCCGAGGCAGGAGGACAGCAAGUUCAAGGCCAACCUAGCAAUUUAGCAAGACACUGUCUCAA